AAUCGUGAAUCAGAAUGUCACGGUGAAUACGUUCCCGGGCCUUGUACACACCGCCCGUCACACCAUGGGAGUGGGUUGCACCAGAAGUAGAUAGCUUAACCGCAAGGGGGGCGUUUACCACGGUGUGAUUCAUGACUGGGGUGAAGUCGUAACAAGGUAACCGUAGGGGAACCUGCGGUUGGAUCACCUCCUUACGAAG
Molecule: ribosomal RNA, 199 nt
Filed under: Gilliamella apis
Lineage: Bacteria; Pseudomonadati; Pseudomonadota; Gammaproteobacteria; Orbales; Orbaceae
Description: partial 16S ribosomal RNA
Rfam family: Bacterial small subunit ribosomal RNA
Source: RNAcentral